Monodelphis domestica (gray short-tailed opossum) is the source of this 708-nucleotide non-coding RNA. The record is from the annotation of a RefSeq genome assembly. Lineage: Eukaryota; Metazoa; Chordata; Mammalia; Didelphimorphia; Didelphidae.
AUGGAGGCCCCGUCCCAGCUGCUCUUUGGGCUCCUCAUGCUUUGGGUUUCGGGUUCCAGGGAAGAAAUUGUGCUGGCCUACUCUGCAGCCUCAGUGUCUGUGAGCCCAGGAGAGAGAGUCACCAUCAGCUGCCAGGCCAGUCAGAGUGUCAAACACAGUAAUGGAAAAACUUAUUUUGACUGGAUCCAGCAUAAGCCUGGACAGUCUCCUCGGCCACUUAUUUACCAGGUUUCCAAGCUGGAAUCAGGAAUCCCUGCCAGGUUCAGUGUCAGUGGUUCUGACAGGGAUUUCACCCUCACAAUCAGUGAUGUCAGUGCUGAAGAUGGGGCAGAUUAUUACUGUGGACAACGAUCUUUUCCUCCUCCCACAGUGCUACAGGCCAGAACAAAAACCUACCCAGAGUCCAGUACAGCCAUUGUGAUGACCCAGACUCCAGCCUCCCUGUCUGUGACUCUGGGAGAGACAGUCACCAUCAGCUGCAGGGCCAGUCAGAGCAUUAGCAACUAUUUAGCCUGGUACCAGCUGUCACCAGGAAAACCUCCAAAGAGUCUCAUCUAUGCUGCUACCUACCUACCAUCCGGGAUCCCCGCCCGCUUCAGUGGCAGUGGGUAUGGAACAGAUUUUACUCUCAAAAUCAGCCCUGUAGAGGCUGAAGAUGUGGCAGAUUACUACUGUCUGCAGUAUAAUCAGUACCCUCUCCCACAGUGA